This 462-nucleotide ribosomal RNA is filed under the name uncultured bacterium. RNAcentral's name for it is "partial 16S ribosomal RNA". It matches the Rfam family "Bacterial small subunit ribosomal RNA", at positions 28 to 507 of the family's 1533-position model. The record is from RNAcentral.
GACGAACGCUGGCGGCGUGCUUAACACAUGCAAGUCGAGCGGAAAGGCCCUUCGGGGUACUCGAGCGGCGAACGGGUGAGUAACACGUGAGUAACCUGCCCUAGGCUUUGGGAUAACCCCGGGAAACCGGGGCUAAUACCGGAUAUGACCUGGUGCCGCAUGGUGUUGGGUGGAAAGUUUUUUCGGCCUGGGAUGGGCUCGCGGCCUAUCAGCUUGUUGGUGGGGUGAUGGCCUACCAAGGCGAUGACGGGUAGCCGGCCUGAGAGGGCGACCGGCCACACUGGGACUGAGACACGGCGCAGACUCCUAUGGGAGGCAGCAGUGGGGAAUAUUGCACAAUGGGCGGAAGCCUGAUGCAGCGACGCCGUGUGAGGGAUGAAGGCCUUCGGGUUGUAAACCUCUUUCAGCAGGGACGAAGCGUGAGUGACGGUACCUGCAGAAGAAGCGCCGGCCAACUACGUG